UUUUAAUUGUGUUUCCUGCCACCUUUCCUACCGUUUUGGUGUUUACAGGUCCAUGAAAGAACAGCUUCAGACAAUUCAGCGGUUGUUCCUACCCGGGCAGUGGCCAGAGCGGUGGGGUCUGCAGAGCGAUCUCCGGGGUGAGCAGAAGGCUCCAGGCUUCCCCCAAGAAACGAUACUCAGAAGGAGGCAGUGGCUACAUGAACAGAGAAACAUGAAUGAAGGACAUGAUAUUGGGCAAAGAAUCAAUCCCACCAUGAUCUUCUUCAGUCACGCCGUCUUGUGA
RNAcentral lists this long non-coding RNA (283 nucleotides) under Mustela putorius furo (domestic ferret). Its description in RNAcentral is "lncRNA (ENSMPUG00000030610.1)". The record is from RNAcentral. Lineage: Eukaryota; Metazoa; Chordata; Mammalia; Carnivora; Mustelidae.